CCCUCUCCCACACAUAACGUGACUCUCGUUUCACGUUGAGUUGGCACCAGAAGUUAGACCUGCUCGAUAGAACCGUCUGCUUCAUGCCACCCCAUCUCACAUCUCCCCUUUUCCUGCAGUGCACGUCAUCCUCCCCAUCACUACAUUAGAAGCUCAAGGAGAAGAAAACUCUGAAGGUGCAGGACAAGGAGGUGAUGGUAACGAAGCUGGCGGAGAUGAUUGAACCAAGGCCGUCACGGUGCUCGGUGAGGUGCGCCUUGUGAGGUUGGUGUGAGGUGGUGCAGGUGCCGGUUGGUGUGAGGCGGCCGGAAGCCAUUUGCGCCUGUUCAGAGCCAUCGACGACGGGGUUGACGAGAUCUCCACUAACCAGCCAUUGAACUGAAGGUGCAGAGAUCUAUAAGUUGUUGGAAGAUGCUGCUUUAGGUUAUUAGAUCCAAAAAAGAGAGAGAAAGAGAGAUACAUGAAGAGGAGUGGGGAUUGGAAGACGGCGGCUUCGCUCCUCCUCGCCUUGUUACCUUGGCGGCUGGGCUCCAUACUUCCCAGCAGCACAGCUCCAUGCUGCUAUCACGGUUGAUUUUGUUUGGGGGACCCGAUUUAGAGGCUUGCAGCAAGAGGACUAAUUACGGCGGAUUGAAACCUUGAGGUAAAAUAGUGUCCAGAUAGCGGCUGAGAAGGAUUUACAAUUUUAAAUUUAUAUGAAAUUACAAUACUUGGCUUUAUGCAUUUAGAUGUAUACAUAUUAGUGGUGGCUAGACCUUUGUGCAGUAACAUUAGGUGGUGAAGAAAGGCAUCCGAAUUAUCGUGUCCUGAGUUUAGCAUGUAGAUAGUGACAGAAAUAAAUUCUUUUUACAGCAUUUACUUGGAAAGUAAUCACAUGCCUUUAUGUUUUAGUAGCAGAAAGAGGAACCAUGCUAUCUGAAAUUAAAAUGGUGAAUUUUAUGCAUUAUUAGAACAAAUCAAUGCAUAUAUAUUCCUGAAGUUGUUUGGGAAAGUACAGGUAGCUCGUAUAUUUUUGGGGGAGUAAAGUACAACAUUGAAUUAUUUCUGUUUUUUCUAAUGGGAAAUUGGCAUGUCAGGGCUGAAGGGAAAAGACAUAUACUUUCCAUGUUCGUACUGAGACUCAUGGUAACAUAGCAGAGGCCACAGGAUCAGUUCUCCCAAAAGAGAACACAUUACUUGUUGAAUCGUCUUUUUGAAAUAAAUCUCAAUCUUGCAGGCAAAUCAGAUUAUAAUAUUUCUUUCUAAAAGAGUAGAUUAGAUCAGUGUUGUAUGAAAUAAAUAGUUACUGACUCUUACUGAUGGAAACAUGUGUUCAUGUUGUUUCUCGAUAUAUCUUGCAGGCAAAUCAGAUUAUAAUAUUUUUUUAUAGAAGAGUAGAUUAGAUCUCCAUUCCCGGCAGUUGUUUGUUUUCCAGGAAAUCGGAGUUACAUCAUUGUACUGGAAAGAGAUCAAAUAUCUCCGGAUCCUUCACCAUGUGUACAGAGGGUCAAUCUAUUUAAUCUUGUCAGUAACA
Long non-coding RNA from Brachypodium distachyon (stiff brome), 1513 nucleotides. RefSeq lists it as uncharacterized. Lineage: Eukaryota; Viridiplantae; Streptophyta; Magnoliopsida; Poales; Poaceae. The transcript is spliced from 3 exons. The record is from RefSeq and is a predicted model, not a curated record.